CUUCAUGGAGACCCACCCAGAUUCACUGGAGAGCAAAGCCUACCAGAGCCCCUGUCAGCAGCACUGUUUCUAGAAGCUUCCACACGAGAGGACAGCAUGGAGUCCUGGGGGCUGAUGAAGCAGCAAUGUCAGCACGAGCACAGGCAGGGAGAGGAAAGAGGAGUAGAGUGAAGGGGAAUGUUCUCUUCAUUCUUCCACCUGCGUGUGCCCCAGCCAACACAUCCCUUCCGUUCCCUGCAAGGCCAUUUCCAGGGAGGCUUAUGAAGACAGCAGAUGAUGGGGAUGGUGAUAGAAGGAGUCUGGAUGCUGAGCCAUGGACCUGGAGAGAAACUGAGUCUGAGGAAUGUCAACAUGCCAAGUCCAUGAAAUAUUAGUGGGCUGGAAUUCUAGCUGCCUGAAAAAAGACAUUCCUCACAAAAGACCUCACAAUCAUAUCCAUGGAAUUAUAGCACUGGGCUCUCCAGAUGGUGCUACAGGAAGACCUCCAGAAAUUUGACAAUCCUCUAUUCAAGGCCCUACCACAGAGACACACAGGAACGGAACUCAGAAUCACAAACAAAGAAACUUUGAUCCAAGAAAGAAAAUGAUCUUUAAAAAGACCCUCGUUUCAUGCUGGCCAAUGCUGAGAAAAUCUGCUCUGGAGGAUAUUUGGAGACGCUGAUUAAAAGGUAGUACCAUCACCACAUAUUUAACUUCCCCCUCUUUUUCCUCUGCUUCUAGGAGUAGAGAAACCAACAAAACCAACGGCAGACAGAUGGUAAGUUUCAAACAAUCUGUCCCCCACCCCACCACUAUUCACACCUUUCACAAGGGCCUAGCCACAAAGCCAGUGCAACAUGACACCAAUCAUCAGCAGAGUGGAGAUGGUUGUCCCAGUGGAGGGGGAUUCUUAGUGUUACGUAGAUAGCAAGCACGAUGCAAAAGUGUUGAAGCAGGAGUGUAAAGAAUAAUUAAAACACCUGCCCAAGACCCAAGCAAGGAUAGGAUUUCCCAGACAUUCCCGAGGGAGAAAAUGCCAUGUCCUUUCCUUCUGGUGUCACAUCAGAAUCUGAAGGCUGCUAGAGAAGGGAGAGAAACAUGAAAGUGAGUCCCAUGCUGAUUGUUGUUGAAAUACCUAGAAAGAAACUGGCAAAGACUAUCCAAGGGAUGCUAAGACAUGUCCGAACUUAUAAAACAGUAGAACCUGAAUAGGAAUUUGAAGUUGUCUAUACUCUCCUCAGCCACACCCUGCCAUUUUACAGAUUGUCUUCUCUGGGGAAGUUAGCUGUCAUGUUGUGGGGAUACUCAAGCAGUUUAUAAAGAGGUUCAUGUCGCAAGGAAUGGAGGCCUCCUGUCAACAGCCAUGUAAAGGAACCAUCUAGGAAACAGAUUCUCCAGCCCCAGUCAGACCUUCAGAUGAUUACAGCCCCUACCAACCUUCUGACUGCGGUGGAAGGAAAGUUCCUGAACGAGAACCACCCAGGUUAAUAUGGGUAAGUCUCAUCCAAUCCUUUGAAGGCCUGAAGAACAAAGAGUGAGGUUUCUGGAAGAAGAAAAUUUUACCUCAAGCCUGCAAUGUAGAAAUUCCGCUUGAGUUUCAUGCCUGCUGGCCUGCCCUGUGGAAUUCGGAGUCAAGAAGGAGUCUUGUAAGCAUUAACUGAGAUAGUAUAUGAAGAGUGCUUUUGCACCGAGUGAACCCUCAAUCAACUGUACUAGUUUGUAUGCCUGGAAGAGCUGCUAUAUAGGAUCAGAAAGAAAAAUAAGGUGCAUACCCCAGAAAAAAAUACUUGCAUAUGAAUACUAGGAGAUGCAUAACAAUGUUCACAGCAGCAGUAUUCAUGGCAGUGAAAAAUGAAAAGAACUUAAAUGCACAUUGAUAAAAACGUCUACUUAUUUGUGUCAUCUUUGCACAGUGGAAUUGUGCGAGUGGAAAUCAUUGAUCUACAGCUAGGAGAAGCAGCAGAGAUCAAUCUCAAAAACAUAAUGUUCUGUGGAAAAAGCUAACCUCAGAACACUUUGCGGCUCUAUCUUAGCAAACCAGGAGAGAAAUUCUCCUGAUGGCCUUGAAGAAGCAAACAGCCACCUGAUUAAGCCCCUGUGGAUAGUGCCAAGUGGCAGGAAAGUGGGAGCAGCCUCUAGGACCUGAGGAUUAAAGUCAGUAAGAGCUGGGACCUCACUCAUGCAGACUCGAGGACAUGAAUUCGACCAACAACUUGAAUGAGCUUGGAAGUGGAUUCUUCCCUAGUCCAGUCUUCAGAGAUUAAGAAUGUUCCCAAAGAAUGAUGGAGACAUUUCAAAAGGAUACAGAAGCCAGAUUGUGGGCGCUUCUACUGGCCAACUCUGGGACAUCGUGGACAUCAGAAUAAAUUUGUAAUAGUAAAGGAUUAUAGCCUAUUAGAUAAAAUCAGAUUUUUCUGAUUUAACUAAAUGAGUAGAAGGAAAAGAAAGCUCUUCCUUAUAUUAGAAAGUCAAUUAAUAAAUGCAGAAAGGAAUGAAACAAUUAGAAAAGCCACCAUUUGGCAACCAUGGCAGGCAGAAUGGGGAGCACGCCUCCAGACAGUAAUUCCUUUCAAGCUGGUUUAUAGGAACUCACUGAGCUUGCCGAUUGACCUCUGAUGGGCAAAGUUUCUGAAUUUUGAAGCACUGAUUAUAUAAACUUAGACAGAGACAUGCUUCAUUAUUUAAUAGGACUGUGUCAAAAGCCUACUAUUAGGAUGAUGUGUUGGGUGUGGAACAGGGUCUGUUCCUGCCAGGGACACUGGUGAUUUCACUCCAUGUUCAGACUGAUCUUUGAAGUUGAAGACAAGCAGAAGAAUCCUUCUAAAAUUUAGCCAUGCCCAUAGGCUGGGAGGGACACUGCUCCAUUCAGAGGCAGCAAAGCAUAUUACUGUAUCUCCUAUAGAGCUUUGAGCAGUCCAGUGCACAUGGAGAAACUUAAUAAAUGUUUGUUGAACUAAUGAAUGAACAAAUCAAUGGACCAAGUCAGGGAUAAGUCUUACAUUUGUCAUCUAGGUGAUUAAGAAAGGAAAAAGUAUCUGUUUCAAGAGGAUUACAAUCUAACUUUACUCCAAUAGUAAAAUUUACUCUUUUGGAAUCUGAAGACA
This 3083-nucleotide small RNA is filed under the name Pongo abelii (Sumatran orangutan). RNAcentral's name for it is "processed transcript". The record is from RNAcentral. Lineage: Eukaryota; Metazoa; Chordata; Mammalia; Primates; Hominidae.